GGAGAGUUGGCCGAGUCGGUUGAAGGCGCUCGCCUGCUAAGCGAGUAAGGGGUAAUAAGCCCCUUCGAGGGUUCGAAUCCCUCACUCUCCGCCA
RNAcentral lists this transfer RNA (94 nucleotides) under Actinomycetota bacterium. RNAcentral's name for it is "tRNA-Ser". It matches the Rfam family "tRNA". Rfam says of the family: Transfer RNA (tRNA) molecules are approximately 80 nucleotides in length. The record is from RNAcentral. Lineage: Bacteria; Bacillati; Actinomycetota.